CUUUCUUUUUUCUUCUUCCAAUUACAGAGAACCAACAAAAGCAUCAGUCCACAUUUGACCUCAGCAUCAUCGUUGGACAUCUGGAAAACAAACAUGCAUCACCAGGAGCCCUUAAUAAUCCCCAGCUGCCCCCCCCCCCACCUAGAAGCAUAAAUAUAGGACUAAUGAGUCAUGGAGAUUACUGGACCCAUUCUGGCAACUGAAAAAUGUUGCAGUGCUCUCCAUUUUUUUUUACUUUUAAGGCCUAAGAAAUGUGGCAAGGAUGACCUGGCCUUUAGAGAUUGAAAAUUAAGCACAGUUGGUAACUUAACAGCACCCUGUGCUUUGUUCUUUCUGUGCCAUAGAAUUUAACUGGGUCCUAAACUAAACUAAACUAAACUAAACUAAAUGCAUGUGAUGCUUGAGAGUUUAAUCUGUAGGAAGUUGAGUAAAAACAUCUUUAUGGUGUUUGAACCUCUUAAUAUUUCCUGCACCAUCAAGCUCACCGGGUCCUGCAGCUAAACUAAAUGCACGUGAUGCUUGAUAGUUUAAUCUGAACGAAAUUGCAGUAAAAACUUCUUCAUGGUGUUUGAACUUCUAAAUUUUGCUGGACCAUCAACUUCUCUUGGUCCUUCAGCUAAACUAAAUGCAUGAGAUGCUUAUUAGUUUAUUCUUUAGGAAAUUCUACUUCCCACCUUCAUGGUACAAAGAUUUUAGUUCUGCUGGACCUUGGCUGCAGCUAAACAAAAUAAAGUAGGUAAUUCCCCCCUAUCCUAGUAGAAAUUGAAAUGAUGCAUGUAUCCGUCAUGCUCCACAAUGCAAGCAGCGAAGAAUGUGGAAGACACCUCGUUUGAUAUUUAUUCUCCAUCCAAGUCUUCAGGAUUAUGUGAGAAGAAAAUAACCCCCACGAGCAACAAAAUAAAAUCAGAUCUGCUGCCUAACUCACUGAUGAAAAGACAAAGUCUUCAUGCUUCAUAUGAGUCUGGUAUUGAGAGCAUCCAGUUUUGGUUGGUGUCCACUCUAACCGUUCCAAAUGGACAUGGAGAACUGUGAAGGGAAAGCAGCUGCACAUAGCAUCCCUGAUUCUCAAACACAACACCAUGGAUUUAACACACGAUGCCUUAAUUCCAAGAGCCUGAAAACAGAACACUUGUAUUUGCCAGCCAGGGGAACAGAACGUUUUUUAGAGUCUAACCAACCAACAACUUGUUUGAAACUUGUUUUAUGUAUGCUGUGUAUUUUAAAAAAAACAUGGUUUUAAUUUUUAACGUCUCUUUUGUAAGUCAUAAAGAAAUUAUGUUAUCGGGGAAUUACAUCCAUUCAGUGAAGACUGUCCACAAGAAAAGCUGCUAGGGGUGGGGGGGAACAGAGUGAUUUCAGUUGGGUGGUUUUCCAGAAAUGUGUCCAAUAAAUCAGAAAGUUAAGAGUUCA
RNAcentral lists this long non-coding RNA (1410 nucleotides) under Salvator merianae (Argentine black and white tegu). Its description in RNAcentral is "lncRNA (ENSSMRG00000001005.1)". The record is from RNAcentral. Lineage: Eukaryota; Metazoa; Chordata; Lepidosauria; Squamata; Teiidae.